This is a long non-coding RNA of Vidua chalybeata, 1011 nucleotides long. RefSeq lists it as uncharacterized. The record is from RefSeq and is a predicted model, not a curated record. NCBI's taxonomy places the organism in Eukaryota, Metazoa, Chordata, Aves, Passeriformes, Viduidae. The transcript has 3 exons.
UGGCCAGCCCAGGCUCCUGAUGUCAGUUUGUAGGGUUCCCUUGGGACUGUCAGGGCAGCACAGGUUUGGGGUGGGGGCAGCUUGGGGCUGGGAGACAUCCUUGAUCAUUCGGAUUUUUUGGAGGUGUCCGGUCACUCAGGGCCACAGGCCCCUGGAGACACAGACCGGUCCUUUUUCCCUGGGAAAGAAAAGUGGCCAGCCCAGGUUCCUGAUGUCAGUUUGUGGGGUUCCCUUGGCAGUGCAGGUUUGAGGUGGGGGCAGCUUGGGGCUGCAACACAUCCUUGAUCAUUCGGAUUUUUUGGAGGCGGCAGAUGCAGCGAGCAUAGAAGACUGUGUAACUAAUUAUAUACAAGUUAACUUUUAGGCCAAGGACAAUCUGCAAGGAAGAUGAGGAGCCUUCAUCCCUACGACCACCAAGGGCAGAAAAAAAGACCCCCCCAGCAACCAACUGCACAGAAGGGAUACCGGUAACCCCAGAAUCUUUGUGCACAAAGCCCGGGUGGAGACGCAGGACAGCAGAACCUAGUGAAAACUUGACACACGAUUGCCUAAAAGUUAUUGAAGAAGGCCUGAUUUGGAGGAAGAAGAACUAGAAGAUGGCAAGAAAUUAUUUGUGGAUGGGUCGUCUCGAGCAAUAGAUGGAAAAAGAAAAUCAGGGUAUGCUGUAAUUGAUGGAAAAACCUUGAAGGUAACAGAGUCAGGGCCAUUAAGCUCAGGGUGGUCGGCACAGGCUUGUGAGUUAUAUGCAGUAUUACGGGCCUUAGAGCUGUUAAAAGGAAAGGCUGGAACUAUUUAUACAGACUCAAAAUAUGCUUAUGGGGUAAUACAUACAUUUGGAAAGAUAUGGGAAGAAAGGGGCUUGAUUAAUUCACAGGGAAAGGGAUUAAUUCGUGAGGAUUUAAUUAGGAGAGUACUGAGAGCUUUAAGGUUGCCUGAAGGUAUCGCUGUAGUUUAUGUAAAAGGCCACCAGAGCGGGAUAUGUAACCAAGUAAGGGGAAACAAUGUCGCUGA